CCCUCAGUGUGUCAGCACGGCAGACCGGAUAUCUGUAAGUGCGGGUUCGAGUCCCGCCUGAGGUU
This 65-nucleotide transfer RNA is filed under the name Dictyocaulus viviparus (bovine lungworm). It matches the Rfam family "tRNA". Rfam says of the family: Transfer RNA (tRNA) molecules are approximately 80 nucleotides in length. Their secondary structure includes four short double-helical elements and three loops (D, anti-codon, and T loops). Lineage: Eukaryota; Metazoa; Nematoda; Chromadorea; Rhabditida; Metastrongylidae. The record is from Rfam by way of RNAcentral.